This 160-nucleotide ribosomal RNA is filed under the name uncultured Tatumella sp. RNAcentral's name for it is "partial 16S ribosomal RNA". It matches the Rfam family "Bacterial small subunit ribosomal RNA", at positions 337 to 489 of the family's 1533-position model. Lineage: Bacteria; Pseudomonadati; Pseudomonadota; Gammaproteobacteria; Enterobacterales; Erwiniaceae. The record is from RNAcentral.
UCCUACGGGAGGCAGCAGUGGGGAAUAUUGCACAAUGGGCGCAAGCCUGAUGCAGCCAUGCCGCGUGUAUGAAGAAGGCCUUCGGGUUGUAAAGUACUUUCAGUCAGGAGGAAGGGUGUAGUCUUAAUACGGCUAUGCAUUGACGUUACUGACAGAAGAA